Molecule: ribosomal RNA, 660 nt
Filed under: uncultured bacterium
Lineage: Bacteria
Description: bacterial SSU rRNA
Rfam family: Bacterial small subunit ribosomal RNA
Source: RNAcentral
AGUGGCGGACGGGUGAGUAACGCGUGAGAAUCUGCCUUGGGGUCGGGGACAACCACUGGAAACGGUGGCUAAUACCGGAUAAGCCGAUUGGUGAAAGAUUUAUUGCCCGAAGAGGAGCUCGCGUCUGAUUAGCUAGUUGGUGAGGUAAGAGCUCACCAAGGCAGCGAUCAGUAGCUGGUCUGAGAGGACGAUCAGCCACACUGGGACUGAGACACGGCCCAGACUCCUACGGGAGGCAGCAGUGGGGAAUUUUCCGCAAUGGGCGAAAGCCUGACGGAGCAAGACCGCGUGAGGGAGGAAGGCUCUUGGGUUGUAAACCUCUUUUCUCAGGGAAGAAGCUCUGACGGUACCUGAGGAAUCAGCCUCGGCUAACUCCGUGCCAGCAGCCGCGGUAAUACGGAGGAGGCAAGCGUUAUCCGGAAUUAUUGGGCGUAAAGCGUCCGCAGGUGGCGAUUCAAGUCUGCUGUCAAAGCACGGGGCUUAACUCCGUAAAGGCAGUGGAAACUGAAUAGCUAGAGUGCCGUAGGGGUAGAGGGAAUUCCCGGUGUAGCGGUGAAAUGCGUAGAGAUCGGGANGAACAUCGGUGGCGAAAGCGCUCUACUGGACGGCAACUGACACUCAGGGACGAAAGCUAGGGGAGCGAAUGGGAUUAGAUACCCC